RNAcentral lists this ribosomal RNA (459 nucleotides) under uncultured bacterium. RNAcentral describes it as "partial 16S ribosomal RNA". It matches the Rfam family "Bacterial small subunit ribosomal RNA", at positions 339 to 795 of the family's 1533-position model. The record is from RNAcentral.
CUACGGGGGGCUCCAGUAAGGAAUAUUGCGCAAUGGAGGCAACUCUGACGCAGCCAUGCCGCGUGCAGGAAGAAGGCCUUAUGGGUCGUAAACUGCUUUUAUUUAGGAAUAAACCCCCGAACGUGUUCGGGGCUGAAGGUACUAAACGAAUAAGCACCGGCUAACUCCGUGCCAGCAGCCGCGGUAAUACGGAGGGUGCAAGCGUUAUCCGGAUUUAUUGGGUUUAAAGGGUGCGCAGGCGGGCUAUUAAGUCAGUGGUGAAAUCCCGGGGCUCAACUCCGGAACUGCCAUUGAUACUGAUAGUCUUGAGUUUGGUUGAAGUGGGCGGAAUGUAGCAUGUAGCAGUGAAAUGCAUAGAUAUGCUACAGAACACCAAUCGCGAAGGCAGCUCACUAAGCCAAAACUGACGCUCAUGCACGAAAGCGUGGGGAUCAAACAGGAUUAGAUACCCUCGUAGUC